RNAcentral lists this ribosomal RNA (400 nucleotides) under uncultured bacterium. RNAcentral's name for it is "bacterial SSU rRNA". It matches the Rfam family "Bacterial small subunit ribosomal RNA", at positions 356 to 773 of the family's 1533-position model. The record is from RNAcentral.
GGGGAAUAUUGGACAAUGGGCGCAAGCCUGAUCCAGCCAUGCCGCGUGAGUGAUGAAGGCCCUAGGGUUGUAAAGCUCUUUCAACGGUGAAGAUAAUGACGGUAACCGUAGAAGAAGCCCCGGCUAACUUCGUGCCAGCAGCCGCGGUAAUACGAAGGGGGCUAGCGUUGUUCGGAAUUACUGGGCGUAAAGCGCACGUAGGCGGAUUGGUCAGUUAGGGGUGAAAUCCCAGGGCUCAACCCUGGAACUGCCUUUAAUACUGCUAGUCUAGAGUUCGAGAGAGGUGAGUGGAAUUCCGAGUGUAGAGGUGAAAUUCGUAGAUAUUCGGAGGAACACCAGUGGCGAAGGCGGCUCACUGGCUCGAUACUGACGCUGAGGUGCGAAAGCGUGGGGAGCAAAC